RNAcentral lists this ribosomal RNA (396 nucleotides) under Triticum aestivum (bread wheat). RNAcentral's name for it is "partial small subunit ribosomal RNA". The record is from RNAcentral. Lineage: Eukaryota; Viridiplantae; Streptophyta; Magnoliopsida; Poales; Poaceae.
AUGAAGAUUGCUAAGCUAGAAACUGUAGUUUGCAACUUGAAGGCAGAGCUUUCAAAGAAAGAGGAGGAGAAGAAGAAACUACAGGAGAACCAUGACAGUUUGUAUGCUGAUGUGAAUUCUCUCUUGGAUGCCCAGCAGCAAAGGGGUGUGGAGUUAAACAAUCAGAAGGAGCAGAAGGAAUAUGUUGAUGUGAAGAUUGUUGAGCUUGAGACUGUGGUGGGGAACUUGAAGGCAGAGUUGUCAAAGACGGAGGAGGAGAAGAAGAAGAUGCUGCAAAACUAUGAAACUCUGAAGAACCUGAGAUGUGCUCAAGCCAAUGUGAUUAGGAACUUGAAGUUCAAUCAUUUGAAGGAGAAGGAGAGGCUGACAGAAGGGCGGCUUGUAUCACAUUUCUGA